UACAGAGGUCUCAAGCGUUGUUCGGAAUCACUGGGCGUAAAGGGUGCGUAGGCCGCUCGGUAAGUCAGAGGUGAAAUCCCGGAGCUCAACUUCGGAAUUGCCUCCGAUACUGCCGUGCUUGAGGACUGGAGAGGAGAUUGGAAUUCACAGUGGAGCAGUGAAAUGCGUAGAUAUUGUGAGGAACACUAGUGGCGAAGGCGAAUCUCUGGACAGUUCCUGACGCUGAGGCACGAAGGCCAGGGGAGCAAACGGG
This 253-nucleotide ribosomal RNA is filed under the name uncultured bacterium. Its description in RNAcentral is "partial 16S ribosomal RNA". It matches the Rfam family "Bacterial small subunit ribosomal RNA", at positions 524 to 776 of the family's 1533-position model. The record is from RNAcentral.